This 1103-nucleotide long non-coding RNA is filed under the name Hordeum vulgare. RNAcentral's name for it is "long non-coding RNA (HVUL_LNC016843)". Lineage: Eukaryota; Viridiplantae; Streptophyta; Magnoliopsida; Poales; Poaceae. The record is from RNAcentral.
CGCGACUAGGGAGGCAACGCGAUGCAUGCCACAUAGAAGUCGAUGCGCGGGGACGGUGGCGUGGACCAUGCAUCCCGGUGCUACGGCCCGAAGGGGUGACGACGCGGCAACACACGGGUCAGGGCGACUUCAAAAAGACCUCAUUGUCACGGCUCGAAGGGGCGACACAGUGGCGGUACACGAGUCGGUGUAGCCACGAGGGUGGUGUCCCUGCACUCCCUCGGUCGAUGUGUGGCGGCCUGCUUUGAACCCUCACGGGGGUGCUAUCUCGUGAGAUUGCUGAGGCCAUGGCGCUUCAACGGACAACAAGGUUGGCGCUUGAUAAAGGUUUCACAAAUGUUUUUUAAGACUGACUGCCUUUCGGUUGUGCAACGUGUGACGUCUUCAUCGAAGGAUCGUUCUGUGGUAGGAGCCAUUUAUGGCUGAGAUCAAAGAAGCGGCGAGCGGCCUCUCCUCUUUGUUGUUCAUGCAUAUCCGUCGGCACCUUAAUAUAUCAGCUCAUGUUUUAGCAAAUCAGGUUUGACCACGUUUAGUCUUUAUUUCUUUCAUUCUCUUCCGGAUUGUAUCCGGGAGACUAUUUAUAACUUUGUUGCUUGAUCAAUAAAUGUCGACGUUCUCUAAAAAAAUCAAACUUAAAAAUCGUCAAAUAUGUAUAUGAAUCUUCGAGUAAAAUCAACGACCGGUAAUUAAGUCACAUGUAGAUGUGCUUUAGCACAUCCACAUAGGAAACCGCUGACAUUUCUUAAUGAAGGAUUGAGCGAAUGAUUUUUUUUUCUCCAAAAUAGAAUGGAAAUGAAUCCAAAGGAAAAUUCCAAAGAAUUGUAAUCAUGUGAAUCAACCUGCCAACGCAGGAAAGAUCCCCAAGGACAUAAAUCCUCUAAAAUUUCUAUAAAUUCCCUUGAAUCAAAGGAGCUCUAAAAAUGUUUUAUGCAUAACUAUUAUGUUCUGCCUAAUUGCACUUCUGGUUUAAUUUCCUCCGCGAAACCGACGACGAACAUCAGUUGUAGCCUCCGCGUCGCCCGGGCGCGGUCGGCAGCUUCUGCUGCUGGACGAUGAGCCGUGCCGGGAUCGGCCGGCCGGUGCCAGAGCCUCCGCAGCNNNNN